AGUCGAACGGCAGCGCGGGGCAACCUGGCGGCGAGCGGCGAACGGGUGAGUAAUAUAUCGGAACGUACCCUGGAGUGGGGGAUAACGUAGCGAAAGUUACGCUAAUACCGCAUACGAUCUAAGGAUGAAAGUGGGGGCUCGCAAGACCUCAUGCUCCUGGAGCGGCCGAUAUCUGAUUAGCUAGUUGGUGAGGUAAAGGCUCACCAAGGCUACGAUCAGUAGCUGGUCUGAGAGGACGAUCAGCCACACUGGAACUGAGACACGGUCCAGACUCCUACGGGAGGCAGCAGUGGGGAAUUUUGGACAAUGGGCGCAAGCCUGAUCCAGCAAUGCCGCGUGAGUGAAGAAGGCCUUCGGGUUGUAAAGCUCUUUUGUCAGGGAAGAAACGGCGGUGGCUAAUAUCCACCGCUAAUGACGGUACCUGAAGAAUAAGCACCGGCUAACUACGUGCCAGCAGCCGCGGUAAUACGUAGGGUGCAAGCGUUAAUCGGAAUUACUGGGCGUAAAGCGUGCGCAGGCGGUUUUGUAAGUCUGAUGUGAAAUCCCCGGGCUUAACCUGGGAAUUGCAUUGGAGACUGCAAGGCUAGAAUCUGGCAGAGGGGGGUAGAAUUCCACGUGUAGCAGUGAAAUGCGUAGAGACGUGGAGGAACACCGAUGGCGAAGCAGCCCCCUGGGUC
Molecule: ribosomal RNA, 677 nt
Filed under: uncultured bacterium
Lineage: Bacteria
Description: bacterial SSU rRNA
Rfam family: Bacterial small subunit ribosomal RNA
Source: RNAcentral